This 442-nucleotide ribosomal RNA is filed under the name uncultured bacterium. RNAcentral describes it as "partial 16S ribosomal RNA". It matches the Rfam family "Bacterial small subunit ribosomal RNA", at positions 338 to 795 of the family's 1533-position model. The record is from RNAcentral.
CCUACGGGCGGCAGCAGUGGGGAAUAUUGGGCAAUGGGCGCAAGCCUGACCCAGCAACGCCGCGUGAAGGAAGAAGGCUUUCGGGAUGUUAACUUCUUUUUAGAGGGAAGUGCAGAAGACGGUACCUCUUGAAUUAGCCAUGGCUAACUACGUGACAGCAGCCGCGGUAGUACGUAGGUGGCAAGCGUUGUCCGGAUUCACUGGGUGUAAAGGGCGUGUAGCCGGGCUGACAAGUCAGAUGUGAAUUUACGGGGCUCAACCCCGGACCUGCAUUUGAAACUGUUGGUUUUGAGUAUCGUAGAGGCAGGCGGAAUGCCUAGUGUAGCGGUGAAAUGCGUAGAUAUUAGGAGGAACACCAGUGGCGAAGGCGGCCUGCUGGACGACAACUGACGGUGAGGCGCGAAAGCGUGGGGAGCAAACAGGAUUAGAUACCCUUGUAGUC